This 2623-nucleotide long non-coding RNA is filed under the name Pandoravirus neocaledonia. RNAcentral describes it as "hypothetical ncRNA". The record is from RNAcentral.
GUAUAGGCGUGCGCCUUGCCGUCGCGGGUGUCGGUCGGCGACCGGAUGAGCGCCGAUGUCCACCACACGGGGGCGAUCCCAGCCAACACCGCGGCGCAAGCGUCGUCGAGCGUGAGACCGUAUUCCCCGCCGCACCAGCCGUGAAGCACGGCAAGGCCCCACGGACUCGCGUGCGCCUCGGCGGCGCGCCGUACCAAAUCGACCUCGGCCCGGCGCAGGGAGACGACCGUCAUUGCCGUCGGGGACACGACGCCGUAUGAGCAUGGAAGGCGAAUGGUGAGGCGCAUCGUGUGCAGACGCCGCGCCUCCCUCACCGUCGCCGCUUGCACUGAGCAUAUGGUGGGACAUAUCACGGUGGUCGGGGGCGCUCUAUCGACUGCGCCAUAGCGACCUCCCGUGGCAAAGGUCACACGCAUCAGGUUGAGUUGAGCGUCGCCCAGAGGCUCGGUGGUGCGCUCGACCGACCGACGGUGGUGCGUGCGCGGCUGAUCCGCGCAGUAAUUGUCAUUGAUCACUUGGCCAUAGGCAAAGGCGGCAAGGAUGGCCUUGGCGUCGGUGUAGGCCACGUAGUCGUAUGUGCGUCUUGCGCCACCGCCGGUGGCGAGGUCCAUGUCGUCUUCGUGACAGUGUUGCUGUUGCUGCUGCUGCUGCUGCUGCUCUUGUGACACGACUUCCACGAGGGUGAACCCUCGAUCGUGGGCUUUUGACGCACGAUAGGGCUCCACGACGCGACCCGGCGUGGCGCACGUCGCGCCGGUGAUCAGCGCGUGGAGCGCGCCCCACGACACGACAACACCGGUGUCGCGCGAGCACGCCACGCCCAGAUGGGUCAUGUCGAACCCGGCAGGGACGGCUUCAGCACGCGUCUUGUUGGUAAACACCAACUGGAGCCGUUCGUCGGGGGAGCGCGGCGUCCACAGGGUGAUUACGCUCGAUCCGACGGCCGCGCGACAGUCGGGCACGGCCUCCAUAAUGGUGGCCAGUGCAGAGGACAUUGCCUUUCGGCGCGCGUUAUCGCUGGCCCCCACGAUAAAGAGGUCCAUGUCACCCGGCGGUACGGAACCGCACCUGGCAACGGCACGCUGUGCCGCUCGGCAAAUGUAGCGCUCGGCGUCGUCUGUCAUGCCGUCCGUAUGCUCCGCACCAACGGGCUCGUCGCCACCGCCGGCAGGCCUCUCGGCAUCAAACCGGUGGCGUGGCGCAACCAGAGACGCACGGCAUAGGGCAUAGAUCGCACAUCCGCCGGCGAGCACUACGCCUUGGGGGAGUCGGUUGAAUACGCCGAGCGCCGAUUCGGCGGUGACAUUGAAAAACACGGGACCAAACACGGGGAACCGCUUGAUCACGGCCGAGGCAAAGAGCGCCGGCGUCGCGCCGGGCAGCGCGGCGUUGGCCAGUCGGUGCUCAAAGGCGUUCACGCUCGUGGUCACGAAGCCGAGACGCUCGGCGGGCCACAAUGCCGACGCCCAGUCGCGCAUCAUGGCAAUCAAAGCGCGCACGCUGUGGCCGGCCGAUGCGCACCACAGCGCACCGCACAACGUGCCCCGGCAAUCCUGGAUCACCUGCUGUCCAAAGCGCAUGUAGGCGGUGGCACGUCCGCGUGAGGCGCGCGACCAGUCGAGGGCAAAGCGAGCCCACGGAUCGGGGAGCAAGGCGUCGGCGACGAAAUCGCGCACGGUCCCGUCGUCGUCAUCGUCGCCGUCGAUACCGCCCGGGGGCGCGAUUGGUCCGCCCAACAGGGCGUAGAGAUAGGCGACCACGGCGAUGGGAGGCAUGGCAUCCGACACGGCGACAUCCACAUCGAUAUGGACGUCGUUUGCGUGCGCCCCAAGGCGCAUCCUCUUGACCCUGCGGUCACGCGCAAACGGUGCGGUGCACGAUACCGUGUCGUCCGGCAGGCGGUCGGUGUCGCCGACGACGCGCAAGAGACCCAUGGCGUCGUGGACGGUGCGCGCACAAGUCUUCAUCACGGUGGGCGACGCGCCGACAAAGCACAGCGCACGCCACAGGAGCAAGAUGUCGCACGCCUCGGCCGGGCGACCGUCUUCCGUGAGGAUGCGCACAAACAGGCUGCACAGGCGUUCGGCCGGACACGGCGUGGCGCCCCUACGCCUGCGGCCGCGCCGCGUGGUGGCGACAAAAACGGCAUCGCGCAGCGGCGGUAUCUCGAUGGCGAUCGGCUCAGCGUCAGUUUGGGUCGACUCGCGGUAGGGUCCGUCCAGCAUGGCGGCAAAGUAGGCGCUGCCCGCGACCAGGUCGGCGCGCACGGCGGGCACCUUGAUGGUGGGUCGACGCGCCGACCCACACCCGAGCAAGUUGAUCCACACGAUAGGAUGUGAAUCGGAUGUCGCUUCCUUUGGCGUGGCAUCGUCGCUCGCACAGCGGUCGUCUCUGUCCAUGCGGCUGUCGCUUUUUUGCGCCCUUUUUUUGUUUUCCGCCAUCUGGUGACAGUGUACUUUUUGGUCGUGGGUCGAUGGAUGGGAGCGUGCGCCGCAGGAAAAAGGCCAACGGCAAAUGGCUCACCCGACCAAACAAAACAGAACAAAAACUGUCUGGUCCAAGCGGGACAGCCACAAAAGGGGGCGCCGCGAUGUUGCUGCCUAUUGCGGAUUUUUUCCUCUUU